AAGGAAGUAUUUUGAUCUGAGUGCAUAUAGAGUUAACUAUCAUAUGUCAUAGAUAGCUGUUAUAAAUAUAGGCUACAUAUCACAGUUGACACUUGAAUAAAACACACGAAACGAUAACAGUCCAUCGACCUAAAUCAGUUUACAGGAGAACUAUACCAAUAUGAUUAUAAAAACGUGUUUACUCCUGUUGGUUAUGUACUCAAUACAGGUACUGGGGUCGAAUCGUUUGAAAUGUCAGCCGUGUGAUAUGGGCAUGUACAUGGAGAAACCAUGCCAAGUAAAAGGAGGAAAAUCCGUUUGUAAACCUUGUCCAGAAGACACCUAUAAUCAAAAAGCCGACUUUUCGUUGUCGUGUGCCGAUUGUUCAGUUUGUGAAAUGACCCAAGUGGCUCUGGUUCCAUGUUCACCUGUGUCUGAUACUAUAUGUGGGUGUCCGUAUGGAACAGUAUGGAAAAGUGAUGAAGCGGACGGGAUUUGUGUGGAGGGCGGUAUAUAAAAUAAAAUAAAAAAUUAACUAUUCAUCUCUCAUUUGGUCAACUAUAACUCCAAUCUCCCAAACAGAGUUGUCUUCCCUUGCUGGAUAGCGCGACUUGUGUGGAGAAUGCCAUAACUCAUCAAACGGAACCUAGCAUAUUUACAACACUAGCAUUAAUAUCAUGUUUAAUCCAAUGUCUCCUAAUCAUUUCGGUAAAUAUUUUUCAAUCUGAUUAAAAUACAGAUAUAUAUUUCGCUUCGUGGGUGUUCGAUCGCUGCAUUGGGCGAGAAAUUUCAUCCAGAUUUUCCGGCUUGUUUACCCCUUGUCAGAGGUGCAGGACGGAGGGCCUGACAAGGACAGCUGUUUAGUCUUUCGGAUGGUUCGAAAAAUAAAAUGAAAUGAAAUGGGGUUUAACGACCUACUGUUCUGCUCCUAAACUGGGCUAAUGAAGAUGGGCUAUGAGGGAAAUUUUGCCCGGGCAGCGGCGCUACGGCCUACUCUUAUAUCGAAUUCCAACUGCCAAGGGAUCUUUUACGUGCACUCCAAUGCGUACACGGGGCCUCGAUUCGUCCCAUCUGAACGACUAGACAGCUGUCCCUGUCAGGCCCUCCGUCCUGCAUCACUGACAAGGGGAAACCACGCCGGAAAAUGGGACGUAAAACGGAGGUCGGGUCAGGAAUCGUAAGAGCGGCUUCUGACCCUAUGACGUCAGACAUUUGACUAACCAAUCAGCGUUGACGUUUCUAAUGGAUUACCCACAGUUCCGUGCGCCACACGCCAAAAACUCGACGUAACAUACCGUUUCAUUGGCUAAUCCCUCCCAUCAUCCAGAACGCCGAUUACAUAACAACUCAUCCAGAUCCCAGUGUAGUAAAGACAAAUAUAAUUUUGAAUAAUAAAAAAAAAACGAAAUGAAAUAAGAUCUGUGUUUUAAUCAGGUUGCAGGUAAAACUGUAAUAUAUAUCAAACGAAAUUCUAAACUAUAAAAAACUAAAAGAAAUUGGAUCUGUGUUUUUUAAUCGAAUUAAUAUUUUUUUAAAACAGUAUUAUGAUUGUAUAUGUUACGUAUGAAUUAACAAUUAUUUUUGUA
Molecule: long non-coding RNA, 1565 nt
Organism: Patella vulgata (common limpet)
Lineage: Eukaryota; Metazoa; Mollusca; Gastropoda; Patellidae
Exons: 3
Source: RefSeq, a predicted model, not a curated record